This 2176-nucleotide long non-coding RNA is filed under the name Hordeum vulgare. Its description in RNAcentral is "long non-coding RNA (HVUL_LNC002774)". The record is from RNAcentral. Lineage: Eukaryota; Viridiplantae; Streptophyta; Magnoliopsida; Poales; Poaceae.
UCUCAACCCAACGGCCGCCGCGCCGCCUCCCUCGUCAUUACUUUCGGCGAUGACAACGGUGCCUCCCGCGCCCGCGUUCUUCCUCCCCAACAAGCAGCUGCUCGCCCCCUCUCCGGUCGCUGUGGAGGAGCCAUCGUGCUCGGGCUGCGGAGAGCAGCAGAGGGCCGCCGCCGGCUCGGCUAGAUCUCCUUCCCUCUCCACUAUGAAGCACCAGCAAAGGAGGAGUCCUCAUCUUUCCACCCCUGCCGCCGCCCGAAACCCUAGCCACACAGCAGCACGCAUGGUGUUGUAGGUCAGAUCCGCAGGAUCCCCUCAAGAGCCUCGGUAUGUAUCCCUCCUUACCUUUUCUUCUUCUUCCUCUGAUGCGUGGGCGUGUGCAGGUCAGAGGAGAAUGAGCCAGAGCAGGUGGAGGAGCAGGCAAACAUCCGGUGACGUCUCUGCUAGCCGGAUUCAGGUUUGUUUCCCUCUCUGUUUAUGUUGUUAACCAUGGCCUGGUCUAUUUAAGGUUCCGGUCACGGGGUUUCUUAUUUCUCUCAUUUUUCCUUUUAAUAACGGGUCCAACUCUACUGAAAACAACACGCACUCUGGGUCAUCUUCACUGUAGCCACUUCAUAGCUUGUGCAGUCACUUUACUCUUGUUGUUUUUAUUAUGCCGUGUCACUUAUUCAUGCCCAACCCCAAGUCUAGCAACAUCACUAGCAUCGUCCCUUUAUUUUUUCCAUGGUGGAAUAUUUGGUUGCUUGGAUUACUUGAUAUAAUAGAUCCUCAUUCUGUUUUUGUGCCAUUGAUGCUUUUAUAUGUUGUUUUGCUCAUGAUUUCCUGCCCUCUGCUGUGUGCUUCAGUGGAUGGUCAGGGCCUAAGUCAAGGCGGCGGUCGACUGCAGCAUGGAGGAGUCAUUGAGCAACUUCGAGCCAAAGGCGGCGGCAUGCGACGACGACCUCAGCCUGCAACAUAAGCUCCCUGACAUGGCAAUAAUCUGUGAAGUAAAUUACUUGGCAUGGUAUUUUGUUUAGGAGCAGAUUUCUCAUUCUUCACUAGAGAAAAAAAUCAACUUGCUGCUUAAUAUCCUAAUUCCAUUGUCAAUAAUCUGCUGCUUAAUUACAGUUGCGUGAUUAUAACUUGUCAUUUUGGGGGAUUUGUUUGCUUCUCAUGAAAUAGAAUGAAUUGUAACUCCACACUGCUGUUCAUUGCUUAGUUCAUUUAUUGAUGAAAGGUUAAAUCUUUACAACUUGCAUGCGUUGAGGCUAUACUGUUAUUAGUGGGAGCGAUAUUUUAAAUGUCAAUAGCGUCACUCAACUAUUUGUGUUGUUUAGGUCGUGUAGGUUCGGCUCAGUCUCGUUGUCUUCGUCCAGCUCACCACCAUCACCGACCGCUACAGACAUUAGAGGUGAGAUCUCUCACCUUCUCUUCUUCCCCUUGCUUUGGGCACGUGGGUUCGAACCACGGUUGUUUUGGUUAUGUUGUAUGGGGGCAUGUAAUAUAUGCGUAGGUAUUUAUGUGUGGGAUUUAAGUAUGCUUCUGAGAAAAAAUUAUAUCCAAUUUAAACACUGCAUGUCUACCAUGCUUGUGGCAUGGGGGUUAUUCGACGGAGUAAGACUGUCCGGGGCAGGUUUUCAAGUUAUUGGUUGCUAGUUUGCUUAGUACCAACUCUGUUCCAUGGGGAUAUUGGACAUAAAUAUGCAAAUUUGGAUUUUAAGAAUGUUUUUUUUGUAUAUCUGAUAAGUGCACACCUCUGUAACUGCUUCUCUUUGUCUGGUAUUCUAAGGCUAUUAGGCUCCUGUUUGCUUAGUCCUAAUGCAGAGCUUAGUAGCUGUUAUACACGGUUCAUUUUGUAGUGGCCUUUUAGACUGGAUAGCUGAAGAGUUCAAUAUUUAUUGUAUGCGUAUUGCCAAGGCUCUUAUGGUUUCAGGAACACAUGCUUCAUGCGUCCUUUUUCUGUUAACCCCUAGGAUAAAACACAUACGUAUGUGUUGCUUUACUCCCAUAGCUUGAGUGCAUCAUUAAACUGCAUGUAUCUGUAUUCUUCUAGUGGUCCUGAGGAUAAAUAUCAUCUUUAUUUCGCAGAUUGGUAAGCUGCAGACUACUAUAUCCAUUGGUGGCAGCAAGUUGGUUCAAACACGGGAGAGUUCAUCCGACAAAAGAGCUUCUCUCCGGUUGUAAAAGCAUUAAAUGGCAG